RNAcentral lists this ribosomal RNA (851 nucleotides) under uncultured bacterium. Its description in RNAcentral is "bacterial SSU rRNA". It matches the Rfam family "Bacterial small subunit ribosomal RNA", at positions 60 to 928 of the family's 1533-position model. The record is from RNAcentral.
AGUCUAGGGGUAGCAAUAUCACUGGCGGACGGGUGCGUAACGCGUAUAGAACCUACCUUUCACUGGGGGAUAGCUUUUGGAAACAGGAGAUAAUACCGCAUAAGAUAAUAGAGUGGCAUCACUUAGUUAUUAAAGAUUUAUUGGUGAGAGAUGGCUAUGCGUAUGAUUAGCUAGUUGGUAAGGUAACGGCUUACCAAGGCUACGAUCAUUAGGGGUUCUGAGAGGAUUGGCCCCCACACUGGUACUGAGAUACGGACCAGACUCCUACGGGAGGCAGCAGUAGGGAAUAUUGGGCAAUGGGCGAAAGCCUGACCCAGCCAUGCCGCGUGCAGGAUGAAGGCCCUCUGGGUCGUAAACUGCUUUUGACGGGGAAGAAAAGGGCUAUGCGUAGCACAUUGACGGUACCCGCAGAAUAAGCCACGGCUAACUACGUGCCAGCAGCCGCGGUAAUACGUAGGUGGCAAGCGUUGUCCGGAUUUAUUGGGUUUAAAGGGUGCGUAGGCGGCUUGAUAAGUCAGCGGUAAAAGGUAGCAGCUUAACUGUUUUACUCGCCGUUGAUACUGUUGAGCUUGAAUGUACGGGAGGCAGAUAGAACUCCUGAUGUAGCGGUGAAAUGCAUAGAUAUCAGGAAGAAUACCGAUUGCGAAGGCAGUCUGCUGUAGUACGAUUGACGCUGAGGCACGAAAGCAUGGGGAUCAAACAGGAUUAGAUACCCUGGUAGUCCAUGCCGUAAACGAUGAUUACUAGCUGUUGGCUUCAUUGUCAGUGGCUAAAGGAAACCGAUAAGUAAUCCACCUGGGGAGUACGCCGGCAACGGUGAAACUCAAAGGAAAUGACGGGGGUCCGCACAA